This 218-nucleotide long non-coding RNA is filed under the name Actinidia chinensis (golden kiwifruit). RNAcentral describes it as "long non-coding RNA (ACHI_LNC003505)". Lineage: Eukaryota; Viridiplantae; Streptophyta; Magnoliopsida; Ericales; Actinidiaceae. The record is from RNAcentral.
AGGAGUUUGUUGCAUGCUUUCAGGAUUUCUUGUUAGUCUAUUUCUGUUAGAAUAAAUUCUUAGGUUCUAGGAAUAUCUAUUUGUAUUUGAAUUGUUCUAGGUUCUGUUACCACGUAGCUAUAACGUGGGCUAUUUUCAUGCUUAUUCAGUUAGGAUUUUUGUAUUGAAUGGCUAUUUAAGCCAGAAUUAUUAUUAAUAAAACAAGGUCAUUCAAUCCA